Molecule: ribosomal RNA, 364 nt
Filed under: uncultured eukaryote
Lineage: Eukaryota
Description: partial 18S ribosomal RNA
Rfam family: Eukaryotic small subunit ribosomal RNA
Source: RNAcentral
CAAUAGCGUAUAUUAACGUUGUUGCAGUUAAAAAGCUCGUAGUUGGAUUUCUGGAGGGAGCGUCGGCCCGUAUUUACGAGUGCGUGACGUCUCUGUCCAUCCUUGCGGGAAGGCACGGCAUUGAUUUGUUGUGUCGGAUCGCAUCAUUUACUGUGAAAAAAUUAGAGUGUUCAAAGCAGGCUUUCGCUUGAAUACAUUAGCAUGGAAUAAUAAGAUAGGACUUGGUGCUAUUUUGUUGGUUGAGCCUAAAGUAAUGAUUAAUAGGGAUAGUUGGGGGCACCUGUAUUGCGUUGUCAGAGGUGAAAUUCUUGGAUUUACGCAAGACAAACAGCUGCGAAAGCGUCUGCCAAGGAUGUUUUCAUUA